This 600-nucleotide ribosomal RNA is filed under the name Massilia antarctica subsp. insulae. RNAcentral's name for it is "partial 23S ribosomal RNA". It matches the Rfam family "Bacterial large subunit ribosomal RNA", at positions 1082 to 1694 of the family's 2925-position model. The record is from RNAcentral. Lineage: Bacteria; Pseudomonadati; Pseudomonadota; Betaproteobacteria; Burkholderiales; Oxalobacteraceae.
GGCUAAAACAGUCAGGAUGUUGGCUUAGAAGCAGCCAUCAUUUAAAGAAAGCGUAAUAGCUCACUGAUCGAGUCGUCCUGCGCGGAAGAUGUAACGGGGCUAAGCCAGUCACCGAAGCUGCGGAUAUCCGCAAGGAUAUGGUAGGAGAGCGUUCUGUAAGCCUGCGAAGGUGUCUUGUAAAGGAUGCUGGAGGUAUCAGAAGUGCGAAUGCUGACAUGAGUAGCGAUAAUGGGAGUGAAAAGCUCCCACGCCGUAAGCCCAAGGUUUCCUGUUCAACGUUCAUCGGAGCAGGGUGAGUCGGCCCCUAAGGCGAGGCAGAGAUGCGUAGCUGAUGGGAAGCAGGUUAAUAUUCCUGCACCGUCGUAUGAUGCGAUGGGGGGACGGAUCGCGGAAGGUUGUCCAACGGUUGGAAGUGUUGGUUUUUGACUCAUAGAAGGCGCUUAGGCAAAUCCGGGCGCGUAAUUCAAGGGGUCGAGACGAGGAACUUAGGUUCUGAAGCAAUCGGAAGUGGUUCCAAGAAAAGCCUCUAAGCUUCAGUCAUACGAGACCGUACCGCAAACCGACACAGGUGGGCGAGAUGAGUAUUCUAAGGCGCUUGAG